This 468-nucleotide ribosomal RNA is filed under the name uncultured bacterium. Its description in RNAcentral is "partial 16S ribosomal RNA". It matches the Rfam family "Bacterial small subunit ribosomal RNA", at positions 28 to 507 of the family's 1533-position model. The record is from RNAcentral.
GACGAACGCUGGCGGCGCGCUUAACACAUGCAAGUCGAACGGAAAGGCCCUGCUUUUGUGGGGUGCUCGAGUGGCGAACGGGUGAGUAACACGUGAGUAACCUGCCCUUGACUUUGGGAUAACUUCAGGAAACUGGGGCUAAUACCGGAUAGGAGCUCCUGCUGCAUGGUGGGGGUUGGAAAGUUUUGGCGGUUGGGGAUGGACUCGCGGCUUAUCAGCUUGUUGGUGGGGUAGUGGCUUACCAAGGCUUUGACGGGUAGCCGGCCUGAGAGGGUGACCGGCCACAUUGGGACUGAGAUACGGCCCAGACUCCUACGGGAGGCAGCAGUGGGGAAUAUUGCACAAUGGGCGGAAGCCUGAUGCAGCAACGCCGCGUGCGGGAUGACGGCCUUCGGGUUGUAAACCGCUUUCGCCUGUGACGAAGCGUGAGUGACGGUAAUGGGUAAAGAAGCACCGGCUAACUACGUG